CAGCAGCCGCGGUAAUACAGAGGAUGCAAGCGUUAUCUGGAAUGAUUGGGCAUAAAGUGUCUGUAGGUGGCUUUUCAAGUCCGCCGUCAAAUCCCAGGGCUCAACCGUGGACAGGCGGUGGAAACUACCAAGCUGGAGUAUGGUAGGGGCAGAGGGAAUUUCCGGUGGAGCGGUGAAAUGCGUUGAGAUCGGAAAGAACACCAACAACGAAAGCACUCUGCUAGGCCGACACUGACACUGAGAGACGAAAUCUAGGGGAGCAAAUGGGAUUAGAUACCCGAGUAGUCCCUGUCUCUUAUAA
Molecule: ribosomal RNA, 301 nt
Filed under: uncultured bacterium
Lineage: Bacteria
Description: partial 16S ribosomal RNA
Rfam family: Bacterial small subunit ribosomal RNA
Source: RNAcentral